UUCGCAAUGCCCGAAAGGGUGAACGAGCGACGCCGCGUGCGGGAUGAAGGGUUUCGGCUUGUAAACCGCUUUUCUUUGGGAAGAAGGUCUGUCUCGUGCAGAUGGGCUCGACGGUACCAGAGGAAUAAGCCUCGGCUAACUCCGCGCCAGCAGCCGCGGUAAGACGGAGGAGGCAAGCGUUGUUCGGAUUCACUGGGCUUAAAGGGCGCGUAGGCGGCUUGUCAAGUCAGGGGUGAAAUCUUUCGGCUCAACCGGAAAAUUGCUUCUGAUACUGGCAGGCUUGAGGGAGGUAGGGGCAGGUGGAACUUCCGGUGGAGCGGUGAAAUGCGUAGAUAUCGGAAGGAACGCCGGUGGCGAAAGCGACUUGCUGGACCUCUUCUAACGCUGAGGCGCGAAAGCCAGGGGAGCAAACGGGAUUAGAUACCCCGGUAGUCCUGGCCCUAAACGAUGGGCACUAAGUAGAGGGGUUUU
This 471-nucleotide ribosomal RNA is filed under the name uncultured bacterium. Its description in RNAcentral is "bacterial SSU rRNA". It matches the Rfam family "Bacterial small subunit ribosomal RNA", at positions 364 to 832 of the family's 1533-position model. The record is from RNAcentral.